AAAAUACCAAACAUAGUUUUAUUUCUUAAAAUUUUUUUUAUUUACUUAACUAAGAUUAGUUAAUAAUUUGAUAAGAUUUUUAAUUUUGUCUUGGUCCAAUAAGAAAAUUUGUAGGUCCAAAUUUGGAGCCCACUUCUUCCAUGACCCAAAAAGCCCAAUACACAAGACUAAAAAAAAAUCCUAGUCUCUACACUUCAUCUUCCUCAACAAUACAACAUAAAAAAAAUCCUAGAAAGCUAGGAGGAGAGAAGACCAUCCAUGGCUGCCAUGAAUCCAUCUUGAACGCUACCCAAAACACCUUCUUCCUCCUUUGAACACCAUCAUUUUAUCCCCAAAAUGCAGCCAAAUCCAGUAGACAAAAAUUGCUGAAAAAACCAAUGCAAAAUCCCAGCGAAACACCUCAUUUUUCAACUCCAAAAAGCCAUAAAAACACAGCUGAAAAAUCAGCUGUAAAUUCGUCCAAAAACACACCUAAACUCCAAUCAAAAGCAGCCUAAAAACUGUCCUAAAUUCCAGCCAAACUCGACCAAAAACCUGCCAAAUCAGCCCAAAAUUUGGAAAAAUGGAAAUAAAAAACGCAGCAAUAACCCACCCCUAUUUCACCCAAAAUCAAUAUUCCAAACCCAGCAAAAACAGCCACGUAUCGUACCCUUUUCAUCCUCUAAUCAAACGGAACAAAACAGUCCCAUAAAUGACUCCAAAAUCACAGCAAAACCGAGCCAGAAAACCAGCAAAAUAACAGUCCAUUUUAAACCCCCAAAAGCCAAAACAGCAACUCCAAAAUGCUGCCCGCUUGACCGGGAAAAGCCUCUCUUUCGACGCCAGAACAGAGGCUGCCGGCGAAUUCGAGCUCAUCUCUUGAGGUCGCGUUCGAGUCACUUGAGGUUCGAAGUCUUCCGGGCAUUUGAGAUAAAGUUCUAGUUUAAGUAUUUUAUGUUCUAGGAGUACAUUCGACUUAGAUCUAAUUAACGUCGAAAGAGUCCUUGCUUUAAUUGAGGUUCAAUUCUUCAAUCCCUUACUCAUUUUAUCUAGCUGAAUGUUAAUUGCUUGUUUGGUGAUUUAAUUCUGUGAUUUGUCUAGCUAUUGUCUCCG
Molecule: long non-coding RNA, 1092 nt
Filed under: Nicotiana benthamiana
Lineage: Eukaryota; Viridiplantae; Streptophyta; Magnoliopsida; Solanales; Solanaceae
Description: long non-coding RNA (NBEN_LNC020260)
Source: RNAcentral